RNAcentral lists this ribosomal RNA (450 nucleotides) under uncultured bacterium. RNAcentral describes it as "bacterial SSU rRNA". It matches the Rfam family "Bacterial small subunit ribosomal RNA", at positions 329 to 793 of the family's 1533-position model. The record is from RNAcentral.
UUCCAGACUCCUACGGGAGGCAGCAGUGGGGAAUAUUGGGCAAUGGAGGCAACUCUGACCCAGCAACGCCGCGUGAAUGAUGAAGGUCUUCGGAUUGUAAAGUUCUUUUCUAAGGGAAGAAGAAAGUGACGGUACCUUAGGAAUAAGCCUCGGCUAACUACGUGCCAGCAGCCGCGGUAAUACGUAGGAGGCAAGCGUUAUCCGGAAUGACUGGGCGUAAAGGGUGCGUAGGUGGUUUGACAAGUUGGUAGCGUAACUCCGGAGCUCAACUUCGGAACUACUACCAAAACUGUUGGACUCGAGUGCAGGAGGGGCAACUGGAAUUUCUAGUGUAGCGGUGGAAUGCGUAGAUAUUAGGAAGAACACCGGUGGCGAAGGCGGCUUACUGGACUGUAACUGACGUUGAGGCUCGAAGGCGUGGGGAGCAAACAGGAUUAGAUACCCCCGUAA